RNAcentral lists this ribosomal RNA (429 nucleotides) under Bacteroidota bacterium. Its description in RNAcentral is "Bacteroidetes bacterium partial 16S ribosomal RNA". It matches the Rfam family "Bacterial small subunit ribosomal RNA", at positions 355 to 776 of the family's 1533-position model. The record is from RNAcentral. Lineage: Bacteria; Pseudomonadati; Bacteroidota.
UAGGGAAUCUUCCGCAAUGGACGCAAGUCUGACGGAGCAACGCCGCGUGAGUGAAGAAGGAUUUCGGUUCGUAAAACUCUGUUGUUAGAGAAGAACAGCGCAUAGAGUAACUGUUAUGCGUGUGACGGUAUCUAACCAGAAAGCCACGGCUAACUACGUGCCAGCAGCCGCGGUAAUACGUAGGUGGCAAGCGUUGUCCGGAUUUAUUGGGCGUAAAGCGAGCGCAGGCGGUCAAUUAAGUCUGAUGUGAAAGCCCCCGGCUCAACCGGGGAGGGUCAUUGGAAACUGGUUGACUUGAGUGCAGAAGAGGAGAGUGGAAUUCAAAGUGUAGCGGUGAAAUGCGUAGAUAUAUGGGGGAACACCAGUGGCGAAGGCGACUCUCUGGUCUGUAACUGACGCGGAGGCUCGAAAGCGUGGGUAGCAAACAGG